UGUAGGUGGGGCUGGAUCAUACGCUGGGCAUCGCUGGAUGCCCACUCAGCACAUCUGCUCUCACCAGAGACAUCAGUGAUGGCAGAAGGUGGUUGAAUCUAAGGGGCAUGUGUGCUGGGAACAACUGCUCUUGGUGAAAAACAUCAGAAGACAGCAGGGGGAACUUAAUAGCUUUUUAAAAUGCUGAUUCACCUCCCCAGCUCCAAAUAUAGCCGAAGAUGUCACUGAAGACGUGUGAAAAACCUUCCGUGCUGGGUUUCCACGAGCCGCCUAUCCCUCCGGCGCCACACUGCUGAGGCACUAAUGUCCGAUAUCGGGAACUGAACCUACCCCCACCCCGACCGCCUGUUGGCACCCCCCACGGAGUCCCACAAAAGCCUGUCAACAGACUCCUGGAGAAAGGGAAGGACUGGUGGAAAUGUACUGGCUCCUAUGGACAAAAAGAGGAAGUUGAUGGCCUCCGGUAUGAUUGGCUUUGGGAAAGUGGGCGGGGACACGGGGGAAGUGUGCCGAUUGGACGAAGAUUUCUGGUGUGCUCUCUGAUGGUGAAGAUUUCACUUCCAGCUCCAAGUACGUUUUCAGGCUUCCACGCAUCAUCUUCCUUUAUCACCAGGGUGAAGAUUUGUGUGGACGGAUCUGGACACGCAGAAACAUCAGGAGCGUUGGCAAAGCUGUCCUGCUCUCUGAAAGCCCAGAGACACGCGCAAGAAAGUUCAUUAAAUGUCCCUAGGUUAUUUUCUGAGGGACGUUGAGGUUGGAAUAGAAAGGCAGAGGAAAGGAAAGCGGGAUAAAGAAAGAAAGAACAGAAGCAAGAGAGUGAGAGAGGACGAGGAGAUCCAGCCCUAACAACAUGCGGGUGAAUGUGAUGAGGGCAUUUGCAACCCCAUGCUCUGUGGCUGUAGUUUGGAUUCCUGGAAGCUAGAGAGGCAGAACGGAAUGAAAACACAGGGUUCAGUGUCAGGUUCAAAGCACACCUAUGUGCACAGGUGAAGAUUAACUCGCCCAGCAGGCGAGGGAGGAAGGAGGGGCCAUGCACUGCAGACUGCAUAAUGGAGGCCCCUGCUCUCAUGCAGAGCUGAAUAGCUUUAUUUCCCCGACGAGCCCAUAAAUUGUUCUCACAGGGUUUGUGCAAACGGAGCUGUGUGCUGGCCCUCGCACGGCCUUCGUGAAGAGAUGUGGUCGGCCUGGCAGGCUGGGGUUCCUUCCUGGACCCCGCACGGCACUCGUAUGACUCACUGAAGCCACUUCCAAACUGCUUAAUCCACCGGUGCCGCUGAAGCUUGUAGCAAUUACGGCCACGCCGCCGGACUCGUAUUAACGACAGAGCGAGGUCACGGGCACCUUGAGUGAACUGACAGCUGGGAUGCGUUCAUUCGCUGCUUUCGUUUACAAUGGAUUUAGGUCAGCUUGCUUGUAAAUGCUUGUUUAGAGUUGCUUUGUGUGAGAACUUGUGUUUUCCUGCUUUGGGUUCUUACUCAUCACCCAAUAUAGUAAUUUCCAGACAGCCAAAGGCGUCCUUUCCUUCCAGAACUCUGAACCAGCAGGAAGCAUGCAGAGUGCAGGAGGCAUGCGUCAGAUGGUCUUCCGGCGGUGAUGUUAGCUCACCCCAGCUCACCCCGCUACCCCACCUCACAGUGCUACCUGGAGGAAUUAGAUGUUACUACAUGGUCCGUCAUUGGCUGUUGUAUCCACAAGCAAAAUCUGUCACUGGCUGAACCUUUUUGAUACAGUCGCAGGUCAGUUCUGCCAUUGGUUGCCACUCUGACUGAGAGACCAGAUGGGGUCUGUCAUUGGCCAACACCAGUUCAUGCCACAGUGAUGUGCUGGAUAUUUAUGCUAAGCUAAAGGAUGUUUAUAGAGCUGGGACCUGGAGUCCAUUAGCCUGAUCCGCCAUGGCUGGGGGCGGAUCACCCCCCUACCAACCCUGUAUCCAGCUAACCCACUCAGCUCUCCACGGUCUGUUGCUUUUCUGAAUCUGGCCUAUUUAUUGGGUCAGUUUUCUGCCCUCAGGACAUCCUGUUUAAUUCGUUGACUCCUCCUUAACAUUUUCUUGUGGCAGGUGUUUUCCAAGAAAAUAAAAGCACAAUGAUGACUUGCUGUGAAGAAACCCAGUAGCUUACCAAAGACACAUAAUCAACUAUCUGUUAUUUUUAGCAGCAAAUGAGGUUUCCACAUCACGUAAGACCAGGACAAGGGAAUGAUCCGACAGACUAAAUCUGCCUGGUCACUUGACAGUGUCUGUCCCACUGAGCAUCAGCCAGACAUAGAGCCUUCUCUGUGUCUCCUCAGUUUUAAUGGAAGCACUGGAUAUCCCUCCUCUCCAGUUUUCUUCUGAACUGUAUCCCUGUACAAUGAAGACGUGUUUAAAAAAAUAAAGAAAAAACAGUUUGGCUACUAUCGGGAUCUCCAGUGAACUAAAUGGUAAAUAAAGAGACUUGUGAUUUUUGGACUAUGGGUCCAACUUGGGAGGUCUACACACUCCAAGCUUAUGGCGGCAUGAACAGUAUCCCACAAGCUGCCGUCCAUUAUUUAUACGACAAGUGCAUGGACUGAAGUGCCGGGCAAGGGUAGAUGCCAUCGCCAAGGAGACAAUUAAACAAUGCUCUUUCUCCCAGAAUGCCCUGCGGUGGGCCGGCAGUGCGUGCUAGCAGACUGCCUGUACUGAUCCUGGGCUGAAAUUGCUGAAUGCUGGUUCGCCGGUUUAACGUAUUUAGACGGACUUCUAAAUUAUUUCAAGUCCUGUCACGAUAGACUACGACAAAUAGUUUUGAAGAAGUGUGUGUUUUUCUUUACGGUAAACUACAUAAGUGACAGUUAUUUUAAAAUCUAAUUUCUAAAUUUUACAUUGGUUAUUCAAUGAAAAACAAUUACCGGUUACUCCAAAUAUUUUGAAGGGGCAAUAACUACUGCUUAAUGCAUGGUGAUUAUCAUGAUUUAUUAGUUACAAUGUUAAUACAAAUGUAAUACGUAUGUUAAAUAAAGCUUAAUUAGUGGAUUGUCUUUAUGACACAAAAUCCUCGCUUUGUAGCUAUCUUUGUUUCUUUCUGAAUUACUUAUUUUAUAAUGUAGUCAAAAUAUCAGUUUUACCUCGAGCAAACCUAAAUCGUUAUAUAAACAUUACCUAGAGAAAGGGACAAGGUGUAAAUCCAAUGGCAUCUUCCUCUCCAUUCUUUGAAGAAUAUAAUGUGGGAUUAAUUUAAAGAUUUUUCCACCAGAUCAUCGGUUCACGUGCCAAAAAGGAUAACGGAUGGUAAUUUUCCCCAUACUAUUUAAUUAAACGCGUGGAUGUUAUUAUACAAAAAUGUAUAAAUAAAAAACCACAAGUACUUAUGUGCACUGACACCUACUUAUUAUUCUUAUAUAAAACAGCAGGAAACAGUAGAGUGAUGUUUUCGGCAUUUCUGGGCAGGAUCCUAAUACUUUCUCAAGCUGAAACUUUUAAAAGUGUAUUUCGAUUUCUCAGCUUCAAAUUGGUUACCAGUCUGGAUGUCGACAAUUCUAAUGUCAACCUAGAUCGACAUUAAAAGCACAAAUACACUUAUAGGUGUACCAGGCUACAACUUGUUUUCCACAAGGCAGUUUAAUAAACACAGCUAGCAUAUAUAUAUUAAACUUCGUCACAAUAAGGAACGCAGGCUAGCCUGAAAAUCAAUAUCUGACAGCAAAAUCGAUUAUCUUAUAUUAAUAUGCAACGUAUUGAAAAGGGCGGAGAUAUAAAAAGCACUAUCAGAAGAUCAUCGCCUAUAUUUUUGUUAUACAAAGAGUCGAUCUAGGUUGACUUCGGUAGCCUUGUUUUCUCCAGUCGAUCUGUCAGUUUCUCAAACGCAGUAAUAUUGCCCAGAAACAGUUGCAGAGACCGUAGGGAAACCCGCCAAAAGAAAUGAAUCUUCUAUUUAUCUGGGCAUCAGGUCUGAUUAUAACAAAAGAAAUGAAAGCAAACCUUACUGAAUUCUGGUAGAAAAGAAUUUCUUAAUAUGUGACAUGGAAAAUAUAUCAUCCAGACAAGCAGCCUAACAUAUACAUUGAGAAUAACACUUUAGUAAUAUAUGUUCUUAUGUUGGGAAUAUUUUGAAUGUAGCUUACAUUUAUUUAUCAGGUCAAGUUGCUGUUGUCAUGUGAUUAAAUUGAGAUAACAUGAUAUUUCAUUUAUACAAUUAUACAAUCCAAGAAAAAAACUGAAUCAAGCAUCAUUUAAAAACUGCAUAAAAACGAGUCUGUUUGGAUCUUAUAUUACUUGUAUUAUGGUUAAAUAACUCUGAGUUGUAUUUUUUUUUUCAUAAACGCAUCA
Non-coding RNA from Paramormyrops kingsleyae, 4288 nucleotides. The record is from RefSeq and is a predicted model, not a curated record. NCBI's taxonomy places the organism in Eukaryota, Metazoa, Chordata, Actinopteri, Osteoglossiformes, Mormyridae.